UUGGGUUAAGUCCCGCAACGAGCGCAACCCUUGACCUUAGUUGCCAGCAUUCAGUUGGGCACUCUAAGGUGACUGCCGGUGACAAACCGGAGGAAGGUGGGGAUGACGUCAAAUCAUCAUGCCCCUUAUGACCUGGGCUACACACGUGCUACAAUGGGUGGUACAAAGGGUUGCAAAGCCGCGAGGCCGAGCCAAUCCCAAAAAGCCACUCUCAGUUCGGAUUGUAGGCUGCAACUCGCCUACAUGAAGCCGGAAUUGCUAGUAAUCGCGGAUCAGCAUGCCGCGGUGAAUACGUUCCCGGGCCUUGUACACACCGCCCGUCACACCACGAGAGUUUGUAACACCCGAAGUCAGUGGGGUAACCCUUUUGGGAGCCAGCCGCCGAAGGUGGGACAGAUGAUUGGGGUGAAGUCGUAACAAGGUAACCAAGCCGAAUUC
RNAcentral lists this ribosomal RNA (438 nucleotides) under uncultured low G+C Gram-positive bacterium. Its description in RNAcentral is "bacterial SSU rRNA". It matches the Rfam family "Bacterial small subunit ribosomal RNA", at positions 1075 to 1533 of the family's 1533-position model. Lineage: Bacteria; Bacillati; Bacillota. The record is from RNAcentral.